AAAAGAUGAACAUCAUAUAUAAAAUAAAAGAUUAACUAAGUUCAUGAGUUAUAGAAAACUUUAACUAGUUCACUGAACUAAAGUCAUCACCUCUCUUUUUCUUUCUCUCCUAUUCCAUUUUUCAACUAAAUCCAACGGAUUGGGUCCCACUUUCGCCCUUGUCACGUGCACACCCCACCUCUCACGUGCCUAUACUCUUCUCUAUACUCGAUAUAUAUAUAGUCCAUGCUACAACUGUAUACUAUUCUCUUAAUUACUUCGAUUCUCAUCUGUCUGCCACUGCAGCCUUUCUGCUAUUUCCACUUAAACCCCAU
This 314-nucleotide long non-coding RNA is filed under the name Panax ginseng (ginseng). RNAcentral's name for it is "long non-coding RNA (PGIN_LNC003279)". Lineage: Eukaryota; Viridiplantae; Streptophyta; Magnoliopsida; Apiales; Araliaceae. The record is from RNAcentral.